Molecule: small nuclear RNA, 104 nt
Organism: Loxodonta africana (African savanna elephant)
Lineage: Eukaryota; Metazoa; Chordata; Mammalia; Proboscidea; Elephantidae
Source: Ensembl
GUGAUUGCUUCGGCAGCACGUAUACUAAAAUUGGAAUGAUACAGAGAUUAGCAUGGACCCUGUGCAAAGAUGACACACAAAUUCGUGAAGCGCUCCAUUUUUAU